CACGUCAAGACUGGAAAUCACAGCACUUCAGUGUGUUUCAGUUUUGCACACUAGGGAAUAAGAAACGCUAAGGGACACUGUGAAAAAGGAGGACUGCAGAAUAAAGCGGGGAAGACUUUCUGGUAAGGCCUACUUUGGAAGAACACCUGGCCUAUGACCUGGCGAACCUAGGUGACUCCCCUCCCCCCUUCCUCCAGUCAUCACUGCAAGAAAGAUGGAGCUCUGAUGGUGCACUAAAAGCCAUGCAAGAAAUGAGAGAGGUAUAUUGCCUAGAGGUACACUGCCUAGAGAAGUGUACAACAGUAAACCUAAAGUCGGUCAUUUCUUUUUGAUUAAAUUUUUUUUAAAUUUAAAAUAAAGCUUUUUUUCCCCCACAAACUAAAAAGGUAAAUUUAAUUUUUUUUUUUACUUGUAGCUCUCAGUAAAAAUAUUUAAGAAGUAUAUUUUUUUUUCCUAGGCUUGCUAGCAGUAUGUGUUUUGAAUAGCUCCUGUUGUGAUCUAUGGUCUGAAGAUCAAUUUUAAAAAAUUACUUUUGCUUAAAGUAAUAAAAUACUAGAAAAGAAUGCAUGAAUAAUAUUUUAAAUUAUUGUAUAAUAUAUUAUAUCACCUCUGGGAAAAAUGUACUUAGUUUUUUAUAUGCAGUUGAAACUUCUUUGCAAGUAACUUAUGCUUGAUGUGCUAAUGAAAACUGGGAGGGAAACCACAGAAAAACUGACUACUCCAUGCUAGGCUGUUGCCAUGUAGAAUACAAAACCUUUGAUUGUCAGGAAAAAUUACCUUUUAAAGUUCAGGAUGUGAUGGGGAAAAAAAAAAAAUCAAUAAAUAAAAGGGAAGAAAGAGCUUUCCUACCCGAUACCUGGCUGGACAUUGCAUGGGAGUGAUCAGGACCGAUUGAUUGUUGCCGCUCUCAUGUGUACUUUGAAUCGCUGAUAAUUCUUCUACCAUUCAAAAUGAUAAGUUACUUUGUCCUGAAUCCCACUGAUAAAAAUGGAAUUUGUAAACCAAUGCAGAAGUUUGCUUUGGUGAAUUUCCAGCUGUCCUAGUAGGGGAAAAAAACCCUCAGGCUGAAUGAAAUCCCCACGGACAAAAUAAUACAAAAAGUCUGGGCUGCAAUUUGAUACCAGCCGAAGUCCAGAGUCAGCUCCCCUAAAGUUAACAGUUGUAACAAACUACUGCAACUGGAAAAAAAACCCCACCUAUAUGGUGCCCAUUAUUGCCAGGAAGGCUUGGAAUAGCUGUACUGCAAAAAGAAUUAGCAUAAAUAUGCAGCCAUUAGUAUUAUAACCAGCCGAUUUUGCAGAAUGUGUGCUGUAUUUUAGACAGCCUUCAUGCUAUACUUUAACAAAAAAAAACAACAAACAAACAA
This is a long non-coding RNA of Oenanthe melanoleuca, 1366 nucleotides long. RefSeq lists it as uncharacterized. The record is from RefSeq and is a predicted model, not a curated record. The transcript is spliced from 2 exons. Lineage: Eukaryota; Metazoa; Chordata; Aves; Passeriformes; Muscicapidae.